GAUGAACGCUGGCGGCGUGCCUAAUACAUGCAAGUCGAGCGAACAGAUGAUGUUCUUGCUCCUCUCACGUUAGCGGCUGACGGGUGAGUAACACGUCUAUAACCUACCUAUCAGACUGGUAUAACUUCGGGAAACCGUAGCUAAUACCGGAUAAUAUAUUGAACCGCAUUGUUCAAUAGUGUAAUACGUUUUUUCUGUCCCUUAUAGAUGUAUCCGCGCCGCAUUAGCUAGUUGGUAAGGUAACGGCUUACCAAGGCAACGAUGCGUAGCCGACAUGAGAGGGUGAGCGGAGAAACGGGAACUGAGACACGGACAAGAAAACUACGGGAGGCAGCAGUAGGGAAUAUUACGCAAUGGGCGAAAGCCUGAAGGAGCAAAGGCGCGUGAGUGAUGAAGGUCUUAGGAUAGUAAAACUCUGUUAUUAGGGAAGAAAAAAUGUGUAAGUAAAAAUGCACGAAAUGACGGUAACUAAUAAGAAAGCAACGGCUAACUACGUG
Molecule: ribosomal RNA, 497 nt
Filed under: uncultured bacterium
Lineage: Bacteria
Description: partial 16S ribosomal RNA
Rfam family: Bacterial small subunit ribosomal RNA
Source: RNAcentral